GUUGUAUAGUUAAGUAACUAAGCGUACAAGGUGGAUGCCUUGGCAAUCAGAGGCGAAGAAGGACGUGCUAAUCUGCGAAAAGCUUGGAUGAGUCGAUAAGAGGCGUUUAAUCCAAGAUAUCCGAAUGGGGAAACCCAGUAGAUGAAGAAUCUACUAUCAACAAGUGAAUUCAUAGCUUGUUGAGGCAAACCGGGAGAACUGAAACAUCUAAGUACCCCGAGGAAAAGAAAUCAACCGAGAUUUCGUCAGUAGCGGCGAGCGAAAGCGAAAGAGCCAGUAAGUGAUAGCAGUAUAGUGAGGAGAAUGUGUUGGGAAGCACAAUCAAAGAGGGUGAUAAUCCCGUAUCUAAAAACCAUAUUGUGGUACUAAGCUAACGAGAAGUAGGGCGGGACACGUGAUAUCCUGUUUGAAGAAGGGGGGACCAUCCUCCAAGGCUAAAUACUCCUGAUUGACCGAUAGUGAACCAGUACUGUGAAGGAAAGGCGAAAAGAACCCCGGUGAGGGGAGUGAAAUAGAACCUGAAACCUUGUACGUACAAGCAGUGGGAGCCCCAUCACUUAAUCCGAUUGGAAGGUGAUGAAAAGCAACCGCACUUAAACAAUGGUAAGAGGAGCGAAGCGAGUCAAACCACCCAAAAGAAGCAGUGGGAUUAAGUGAUGGGGUGACUGCGUACCUUUUGUAUAAUGGGUCAGCGACUUAUAUUUUGUAGCGAGGUUAACUGAAUAGGGGAGCCGAAGGGAAACCGAGUCUUAACUGGGCGAGUAGUUGCAAGGUAUAGACCCGAAACCCGGUGAUCUAGCCAUGGGCAGGUUGAAGGUUGGGUAACACUAACUGGAGGACCGAACCGACUAAUGUUGAAAAAUUAGCGGAUGACUUGUGGCUGGGGGUGAAAGGCCAAUCAAACCGGGAGAUAGCUGGUUCUCCCCGAAAUCUAUUUAGGUAGAGCCUUGAGGUGACACCUUUGGGGGUAGAGCACUGUUUCGGCUAGGGGGCCAUCCCGGCUUACCAACCCGAUGCAAACUACGAAUACCAAAGAGUGAUACUCAGGAGACACACGGCGGGUGCUAACGUCCGUCGUGGAGAGGGAAACAACCCAGACCGCCAGCUAAGGUCCCCAAGUCUAUAUUAAGUGGGAAACGAAGUGGGAAGGCUUAGACAGCUAGGAUGUUGGCUUAGAAGCAGCCAUCAUUUAAAGAAAGCGUAAUAGCUCACUAGUCGAGUCGGCCUGCGCGGAAGAUGUAACGGGGCUGAAAUAUAGCACCGAAGCUGCGGCAUCAG
This 1278-nucleotide ribosomal RNA is filed under the name Haemophilus influenzae. RNAcentral describes it as "bacterial LSU rRNA". It matches the Rfam family "Bacterial large subunit ribosomal RNA", at positions 1 to 1211 of the family's 2925-position model. Lineage: Bacteria; Pseudomonadati; Pseudomonadota; Gammaproteobacteria; Pasteurellales; Pasteurellaceae. The record is from RNAcentral.